AUUGAACGCUGGCGGCAGGCCUAACACAUGCAAGUCGAACGAGUGGCGGACGGGUGAGUAAUGUAUGGGAAACUGACUGAUGGAGGGGGAUAACUACUGGAAACGGUAGCUAAUACCGCAUACCAUCAGAUGUGCCCAGAUGGGAUUAGCUUGUUGGUGGGGUAACGGCUCACCAAGGCGACGAUCCCUAGCUGGUCUGAGAGGAGGACCAGCCACACUGGAACUGAGACACGGUCCAGACUCCUACGGGAGGAAGCAGUGGGGAAUAUUGAACAAUGGGCGAAAGCCUGAUGCAGCCAUGCCGGGUGUGUGAUGAAGGCCUUCGGGUUGUAAAGUACUUUAAGCGGGGAGGCGUUACCCGCAGAAGAAGCACCGGCUAACUCCGUGCCAGCAGCCGCGGUAAUUC
RNAcentral lists this ribosomal RNA (406 nucleotides) under uncultured bacterium. RNAcentral describes it as "partial 16S ribosomal RNA". It matches the Rfam family "Bacterial small subunit ribosomal RNA", at positions 30 to 526 of the family's 1533-position model. The record is from RNAcentral.